Molecule: long non-coding RNA, 545 nt
Filed under: Homo sapiens (human)
Lineage: Eukaryota; Metazoa; Chordata; Mammalia; Primates; Hominidae
Description: non-protein coding lnc-PLA2G4F-3:1
Source: RNAcentral
AUAGAGAAUUUUAAGGGUCUGGCUAUUCCUUAUCUGGAACACAUCAUCCAUGUUUGGGAGGAGACAGGCUCUCGGUUCCACAACUGCCUGAUCCAGCUAUACUGUGAGAAGGUGCAAGGUCUGAUGAAGGAGUAUCUCCUGUCCUUCCCUGCAGGUACCAGUUCUUUUAGGAAGCCGGUUGGCCCCAGGCCUUAGAGGAGAGCACAGACCCAGGUGCCACGUGUGGUGGGGGUAAGCAGGCCACCCUAUUCUCUGCCCAGGUGCGCAGAAGUUCUGAAGAGGAGCCAGGGGAGCUAAGUGACACAAGCCUGGCACAUGAGACUCAGGAGCUCUUGUCUAGGUCCUGGCAUCUCUGAGUGUCUCAGAGUCAUCCCUCGGGGAGGGUGGAAGGAACAGACCUGUCUGCAAGAUGACAGCUAUACUGAUAAGAAACAGGUUUGCCCACAGAGUAUUUCUCUAUUCAGCUUAUUUUUUUAACCGUAAGCUGAUGUUUUGGGGCCACAUGGAGACUAUGAACUAAAAGAAGUUAGCAUGGAAGCCACCCU